Sinocyclocheilus rhinocerous is the source of this 198-nucleotide long non-coding RNA. RefSeq lists it as uncharacterized. The transcript has 3 exons. The record is from RefSeq and is a predicted model, not a curated record. NCBI's taxonomy places the organism in Eukaryota, Metazoa, Chordata, Actinopteri, Cypriniformes, Cyprinidae.
CUUGAAACAGAAGCCACAGAUGAGGGUGGCAGCAGUGAUGAUGAUGACUUAGGAGAGGAGGGAGAGAGGGACGAUGAGGCAGAUGAUCUGUAUGACCUAAUGUCACGGUUGGUUCGCAAUGAGACGGCAUAUUUCUACUGGACAACAAGGAGGGAUUCAGUCGACUGUCGGUCUUUACGUAAAGACCAGAUGACCAAU